CCGUGCAGCCGGGGAGACAGCGGUGCCCUGUACCUGCAAUCCGCUACAGCAGGGGUGAUGCCGAACCGAGGACUUUUUCACUGCGCAGCUGCCUCUUAUAAGUGGCGCUGACGUCCGGGUCUUACGCAACGGGAAUCCAUGAACCGUGUCAGGGCAGGAAUGCAGCAGCACUAAGUGGAACCUUCCGUGUGCCGUGAGGGUGCCUGGGCCGAGUUAACUGUAAGAGUAACGUGUGUGGUGUCAGUUCGAAGGGAGGCGCACGG
This 263-nucleotide signal recognition particle RNA is filed under the name Candidatus Scatomonas pullistercoris. RNAcentral describes it as "signal recognition particle sRNA large type". It matches the Rfam family "Bacterial large signal recognition particle RNA". Rfam says of the family: The signal recognition particle (SRP) is a universally conserved ribonucleoprotein involved in the co-translational targeting of proteins to membranes. Lineage: Bacteria; Bacillati; Bacillota; Clostridia; Lachnospirales; Lachnospiraceae. The record is from RNAcentral.